GAUGAACGCUGGCGGCGUGCCUAACACAUGCAAGUCGAACGACAACACGGUGAGCUUUUGCUCUUACCGGUGGCGGCUGGCGGGCGAGUAACGCGUGCAUCAGCUUCUUCUAUUUCGGGGAGAAUAACGUAAGACCGCUUACGAUACUACCGCAUAUGACCUACCGGUGGGUUCAGUAGAUCUUCACGGCUUUCGCGUCUCUAUUAGCUGAUUCCGCGUCGGAUUGGCUAGUUGGUAGGGUAACGGCAUACCAAGGCGACGAUGCGUAGCCGAACUGAGAGGAUGAUCAGCCACACUGGAACUGAGACACGGUCCAGACUCCUACGGGAGGCAGCAGUGGGGAAUAUUGGGCAAUGGGCGCAAGCCUGACGCAGCCACGCCGCGUGGGUGAAGAAGGCCUUCGGGUCGUAAAGCCCUUUUGUUGGGAAAGAAAAGCUGUAGGUUAAAACCUGGCUGUCUUGACGGUACCCAAAGAAUAAGCACCGGCUAACUUCGUG
RNAcentral lists this ribosomal RNA (497 nucleotides) under uncultured bacterium. RNAcentral's name for it is "partial 16S ribosomal RNA". It matches the Rfam family "Bacterial small subunit ribosomal RNA", at positions 28 to 507 of the family's 1533-position model. The record is from RNAcentral.